This 239-nucleotide ribosomal RNA is filed under the name uncultured bacterium. RNAcentral describes it as "partial 16S ribosomal RNA". It matches the Rfam family "Bacterial small subunit ribosomal RNA", at positions 538 to 776 of the family's 1533-position model. The record is from RNAcentral.
GCGUUGUCCGGAAUCAUUGGGCGUAAAGAGCGUGUAGGCGGCCAGAUAAGUCCGCUGUGAAAUCUCGAGGCUCAACUUCGAGCUGUCGGUGGAAACUGUCUGGCUAGAGUCCGGAAGAGGAGAAUGGAAUUCCUGGUGUAGCGGUGAAAUGCGCAGAUAUCAGGAAGAACACCCGUGGCGAAGGCGGUUCUCUGGGACGGUACUGACGCUGAGACGCGAAAGCGUGGGGAGCGAACAGG